GAUGAACGCUGGCGGCGUGCCUAAUACAUGCAAGUCGAGCGAACAGACGAGGAGCUUGCUCCUCUGACGUUAGCGGCGGACGGGUGAGUAACACGUGGAUAACCUACCUAUAAGACUGGGAUAACUUCGGGAAACCGGAGCUAAUACCGGAUAAUAUAUUGAACCGCAUGGUUCAAUAGUGAAAGACGGUUUUGCUGUCACUUAUAGAUGGAUCCGCGCCGCAUUAGCUAGUUGGUAAGGUAACGGCUUACCAAGGCGACGAUGCGUAGCCGACCUGAGAGGGUGAUCGGCCACACUGGAACUGAGACACGGUCCAGACUCCUACGGGAGGAAGCAGUAGGGAAUCUUCCGCAAUGGGCGAAAGCCUGACGGAGCAACGCCGCGUGAGUGAUGAAGGUCUUCGGAUCGUAAAACUCUGUUAUUAGGGAAGAACAAAUGUGUAAGUAACUAUGCACGUCUUGACGGUACCUAAGCAGAAAGCCACGGCUAACUACGU
Molecule: ribosomal RNA, 496 nt
Filed under: uncultured bacterium
Lineage: Bacteria
Description: partial 16S ribosomal RNA
Rfam family: Bacterial small subunit ribosomal RNA
Source: RNAcentral